Molecule: non-coding RNA, 30 nt
Filed under: Homo sapiens (human)
Lineage: Eukaryota; Metazoa; Chordata; Mammalia; Primates; Hominidae
Source: RNAcentral
UGCAGCCCAGGGCAGAGUGCCAACUUCUUU